AAAAACCUUACCUACCCUUGACAUGUCAGGAAUCCUUGAGAGAUCAGGGAGUGCCCGAAAGGGAGCCUGAACACAGGUGCUGCAUGGCUGUCGUCAGCUCGUGUCGUGAGAUGUUGGGUUAAGUCCCGCAACGAGCGCAACCCUUGUCAUUAGUUGCUACGAAAGAGCACUCUAAUGAGACUGCCGGUGACAAACCGGAGGAAGGUGGGGAUGACGUCAAGUCCUCAUGGCCCUUAUGGGUAGGGCUUCACACGUCAUACAAUGGUACAUACAGAGGGCCGCCAACCCGCGAGGGGGAGCUAAUCCCAGAAAGUGUAUCGUAGUCCGGAUUGUAGUCUGCAACUCGACUACAUGAAGUUGGAAUCGCUAGUAAUCGCGGAUCAGCAUGUCGCGGUGAAUACGUUCCCGGGUCUUGUACACACCGCCCGUCACACCAUGGGAGCGGGUUUUACCAGAAGUAGGUAGCUUAACCGCAAGGAGGGCGCUUACCACGGUAGGAUUCGUGACUGGGGUGAAGUCGUAACAAGGUAGCCGUA
This 536-nucleotide ribosomal RNA is filed under the name uncultured beta proteobacterium. Its description in RNAcentral is "bacterial SSU rRNA". It matches the Rfam family "Bacterial small subunit ribosomal RNA", at positions 964 to 1504 of the family's 1533-position model. The record is from RNAcentral. Lineage: Bacteria; Pseudomonadati; Pseudomonadota; Betaproteobacteria.